UCGGAUAUGUUAGAUUUCAGACAAGAAUCCCCGUCCGCUCUCCCAUAGUCAAGCCACUAACCGGCGGAUUAGUAGUUGGGUCGGUGACGACCAGCGAAUCCCCGCUGUUGUAUGUA
This 116-nucleotide ribosomal RNA is filed under the name Fusarium oxysporum f. sp. conglutinans race 2 54008. The record is from RNAcentral. Lineage: Eukaryota; Fungi; Ascomycota; Sordariomycetes; Hypocreales; Nectriaceae.